RNAcentral lists this ribosomal RNA (468 nucleotides) under uncultured bacterium. RNAcentral's name for it is "partial 16S ribosomal RNA". It matches the Rfam family "Bacterial small subunit ribosomal RNA", at positions 28 to 507 of the family's 1533-position model. The record is from RNAcentral.
GACGAACGCUGGCGGCGUGCUUAACACAUGCAAGUCGAACGGAAAGGCCCUGCUUUUGUGGGGUGCUCGAGUGGCGAACGGGUGAGUAACACGUGAGUAACCUGCCCUUGACUUUGGGAUAACUUCAGGAAACUGGGGCUAAUACCGGAUAGGAGCUCCUGCUGCAUGUGGGGGGUUGGAAGGUUUCGGCGGUUGGGGAUGGACUCGCGGCUUAUCAGCUUGUUGGGGGGGUAGUGGCUUACCAAGGCUUUGACGGGUAGCCGGCCUGAGAGGGUGACCGGCCACAUUGGGACUGAGAUACGGCCCAGACUCCUACGGGAGGCAGCAGUGGGGAAUAUUGCACAAUGGGCGGAAGCCUGAUGCAGCAACGCCGCGUGCGGGAUGACGGCCUUCGGGUUGUAAACCGCUUUCGCCUGUGACGAAGCGUGAGUGACGGUAAUGGGUAAAGAAGCACCGGCUAACUACGUG